AAAAAAAAAGAAUCAGCUCACUCUCAGGAGCCGACUGACCAAUCAUUAUUUUAUAGUCCAUGCUGAUGUGUCUGUAGAUGAAGAUUAGAUCUGUGCAGAGUGAAAGCAGCUCAAAGUUCAGGAGGAGGAAAGAAAAGAGCAGUGAAACAAACUGAAGAGGAAAAAUAACGAGUUUAACCCAGAUUUCUCCAGAUUUCUUCAGAUUUCUUCAGAUUUCUCCAGAUCCUGCACUUUAUCAGAACCCUGGAGGUAAUCAACACAGUGACUUGGAGGCUGCCAAUCAGAAAAGGAUAUAAAAGAAAUUCCCAAGGUGCAGAAGCCUGGAGGCAAGCAACAGUCUAAAGUGCGAGGUGGUGAAACAAAAAAGAAACCGGCCAAUCAGGACAUGGAUACAACAGAAAAUACGAUGAAGGAAAAGGCUUCAGUAAAGGGUUCAGGACAUUGGGGGGCUGAGACACUGGUGAUUCCCUCUGGUCAGUUCUGUUAAUGAAA
Long non-coding RNA from Astyanax mexicanus (Mexican tetra), 492 nucleotides. RefSeq lists it as uncharacterized. NCBI's taxonomy places the organism in Eukaryota, Metazoa, Chordata, Actinopteri, Characiformes, Acestrorhamphidae. The transcript has 3 exons. The record is from RefSeq and is a predicted model, not a curated record.